RNAcentral lists this ribosomal RNA (419 nucleotides) under uncultured bacterium. RNAcentral describes it as "bacterial SSU rRNA". It matches the Rfam family "Bacterial small subunit ribosomal RNA", at positions 356 to 773 of the family's 1533-position model. The record is from RNAcentral.
AGGGAAUAUUGGUCAAUGGAUGCAAGUCUGAACCAGCCAUGCCGCGUGCAGGAAGAAGGCCUUCUGGGUUGUAAACUGCUUUUGUCAGGGGAUAAAAUUUCCUUGCGAGGAAAAUUGAAGGUACCUGGCGAAUAAGCCACGGCUAACUACGUGCCAGCAGCCGCGGUAAUACGUAGGUGGCAAGCGUUGUCCGGAUUUAUUGGGUUUAAAGGGUGCGUAGGCGGCCCUGUAAGUCAGUGCUGAAAUAUCCCGGCUUAACCGGGAGGGUGGCAUUGAUACUGCAGGGCUUGAGUGAAGUCGAGGUAGGCGGAAUUGACGGUGUAGCGGUGAAAUGCUUAGAUAUCGUCAAGAACACCGAUAGUGAAGACAGCUUACUAGACUUCAACUGACGCUGAGGCACGAAAGUGUGGGGAUCAAAC